RNAcentral lists this long non-coding RNA (1532 nucleotides) under Carica papaya (papaya). RNAcentral describes it as "long non-coding RNA (CPAP_LNC012668)". The record is from RNAcentral. Lineage: Eukaryota; Viridiplantae; Streptophyta; Magnoliopsida; Brassicales; Caricaceae.
CAAGUCAUUGGAUCAUAUGUAACCUUUUUCUUCUGAUAAAAACAAAAGCAAGCAAAGUUUACUACUAUAAUUGCACCCUCUGAUGGCAAAAUCUAUAUCACAAAGAUAUCACCAGACAGAGAAUUUUAAGUCUGAGGAAAAGAAGAUUAUUUCUUUAGGCAUUUAGUGUCUCUUAGCACUCAUUUCUUGCCAGCAAUAAGCAUUAUUCAACACCAUCCUGAUCAUGUCAGGCAUCAAUGUCAUUUAUACUGAAAACUCGACCUUGCAUCAAAUUUUGAAAGGGAAAGCACAUUCCAGAAACUAUAUUUUAUAUAAUUCCAGCAUAAGACAUUCUAAGUAACCUUAGAUCAGGUCAUCUACAGCUCCUAGUUAAGCGCUGCCAUAGAACCCACGAACCCUGUAAGGUCCUAUGAAGUUUACAGAUUACAGAAAACUGGAAAGCAAAAGAGCAUCAGCUUGUGACACAAUUUGCGUCAAACAUGGGGAGGGCAUCAAUAGCAUUCCUGAAAUUCUAUUUUAAUAAUCCCAGCAAAAGACAUGCUAAGUAACUUUGAAUCAGGUCAUUUGCAGCUCCUGGUUAAACGCUGCUGUAUCUCCCAGGGAUGUAAAAGGUCCUCUGAGGUUUACACUUCACAUACUAAAGAAAACUGACCAGAGCAUCAACUUAUGAGACAACAGACCCUAGAAUAACUGGCACUAUUACAUGGUCAAAGUAGUAACAGAUAGAUCACUUCAUAGCUUCAUUAUCCUGGACUCAUUGACAUAGAACUUUCUAUAGACUUGGAUUAUAGCACCCACAAAAAAAGAAAAAAAAAACAUUCUUCACUUUUAUAGAAUAUUAAGAUUAUCGACUCUAGCAAUUUGUCCUUUCUUGUACAAGGACACUGUUAGUAUCAAGUGCUCUUCUAUCACUCAUGGCAUCACAUGCUUUUCCUCCCAAAUUUCUAAAUUAAAGAGCCGGAAAACCCUAAGUACCUCUUUCAGUAAUUUGAUUGAAGAAAAGAAAUUAUAGAUGUCCAUAAUUGAAGCCUAAAAAACAUGAGACAGGAAACCGAUAAGUCUACGAGAAGGAAAAAAGAAAGAUGAUUCUUCAGACGCAUAUAGGUAAAAAGAAUAGAAUAGAAGAACUUGAAACCUGGAACAGAGCUUUUGUCAAUAGAGGGUUUUGGAUUAGGAUAUGCCUCGCUUGCUGCCCGGUUCUGUUCUAUUAAUGUCUGCAAAUGAAACAGAAGCAGAUAGCAUCGAAUUAUCAGGAGUUGUUUAGAUCACAGCGGACGUCUGAAGGAAAAUAAAAAAGAAAGGUAGGAGAGCGAGAAAGAGAAAGAGAGAAUGCCUUCAUCUGAGACAUAAUAUCAUAGAGCUGGUUCUUGGACAUCCCGGCGAGGCUCGUCGAUGCGGCGUCGCCGGCGAAGUUCUUUGUCGCCAUCGCCGAGAGAGAGAGAGAGAGAGAGAGAGUCGAGGAGCGGGGUUUGUUGAGUUUCGGGCUUAGGCCGAGGGAAAUAUCAUGGAUUUCGCUUUAAUCAAAUUCGUUU